This 487-nucleotide ribosomal RNA is filed under the name uncultured bacterium. RNAcentral describes it as "bacterial SSU rRNA". It matches the Rfam family "Bacterial small subunit ribosomal RNA", at positions 30 to 507 of the family's 1533-position model. The record is from RNAcentral.
AUUGAACGCUGGCGGCAUGCUUUACACAUGCAAGUCGAACGGUAACAGGCCGCAAGGUGCUGACGAGUGGCGAACGGGUGAGUAAUGCAUCGGAACGUGCCCGAUCGUGGGGGAUAACGCAGCGAAAGCUGUGCUAAUACCGCAUACGAUCUACGGAUGAAAGCGGGGGACCCAGCAAUGGGCCUCGCGCGAUCGGAGCGGCCGAUGUCAGAUUAGGUAGUUGGUGGGGUAAAGGCUCACCAAGCCAACGAUCUGUAGCUGGUCUGAGAGGACGACCAGCCACACUGGAACUGAGACACGGUCCAGACUCCUACGGGAGGCAGCAGUGGGGAAUUUUGGACAAUGGGCGCAAGCCUGAUCCAGCAAUGCCGCGUGCAGGAAGAAGGCCUUCGGUUGUAAACUGCUUUUGUUACGGAACGAAAAGGACUCUGGUUAAUACCUAGGGCUGAUGACGGUACCGUAAGAAUAAGCACCGGCUAACUACGUG